GCCUGGCUAGCUCAGUGGUAGAGCAUGUGACUCUUGAUCUCCGGGUCAUGACUUCAAGCCUCAAGUUGGGCA
This 72-nucleotide transfer RNA is filed under the name Felis catus (domestic cat). It matches the Rfam family "tRNA". From Rfam's summary of the family: Transfer RNA (tRNA) molecules are approximately 80 nucleotides in length. The record is from Rfam by way of RNAcentral. RNAcentral also lists the same sequence under 2 other names. Lineage: Eukaryota; Metazoa; Chordata; Mammalia; Carnivora; Felidae.